GCCCGUGAUGAAAAUUCUAAGGCGCUUGAGAGAACUCAGGAGAAGGAACUCGGCAAAUUGACACCGUAACUUCGGAAGAAGGUGUGCCUUUAGUAGGUGAACCUGUACAAGGGGAGCCAAAUGAGGCCGCAGAGAAUCGGUGGCUGCGACUGUUUAAUAAAAACACAGCACUCUGCUAACACGAAAGUGGACGUAUAGGGUGUGACGCCUGCCCGGUGCCGGAAGGUUAAGUGAUGGGGUGCAAGCUCUUGAUCGAAGCCCCGGUAAACGGCGGCCGUAACAAUAACGGUCCUAAGGUAGCGAAAUUCCUUGUCGGGUAAGUUCCGACCUGCACGAAUGGCGUAACGAUGGCCACACUGUCUCCUCCUGAGACUCAGCGAAGUUGAAAUGUUUGUGAUGAUGCAAUCUCCCCGCGGCAAGACGGAAAGACCCCAUGAACCUUUACUGUAGCUUUGCAUUGGACUGUGAACCGAUCUGUGUAGGAUAGCUGGGAGGCUUUGAAGCGGUGCCGCUAGGUGUCGUGGAGCCAACCUUGAAAUACCAGCCUGGUUUGUUUGCGGUUCUAACCUUGGUCCGUUAUCCGGAUUGGGGACAGUGCAUGGUAGGCAGUUUGACUGGGGCGGUCUCCUCCAAAAAGGUAACGGAGGAGCUCGAAGGUCCGCUAGGUACGGUCGGACAUCGUACUGAUAGUGCAAUGGCAUAAGCGGGCUUAACUGCGAGACUGACAAGUCGAGCAGGUGCGAAAGCAGGACAUAGUGAUCCGGUGGUUCUGAAUGGAAGGGCCAUCGCUCAACGGACAAAAGGUACUUUGGGGAUAACAGGCUGAUUCCUCCCAAGAGUUCAUAUCGACGGGGGAGUUUGGCACCUCGAUGUCGGCUCAUCACAUCCUGGGGCUGUAGCCGGUCCCAAGGGUAUGGCUGUUCGCCAUUUAAAGUGGUACGUGAGCUGGGUUUAAAACGUCGUGAGACAGUUUGGUCCCUAUCUGCCGUGGGCGCUGGAAAUUUGAGGGGGCCUGCUCCUAGUACGAGAGGACCGGAGUGGACGCACCCCUGGUGUACCUGUUGUCACGCCAGUGGCAUCGCAGGGUAGCUAUGUGCGGAAGAGAUAAACGCUGAAAGCAUCUAAGCGUGAAACUCGCCUCAAGAUGAGAUUUCCCGGGAACUUGAUUCCCCUAAAGGGUCGUUCUAGACCAGGACGUUGAUAGGUCAGGUGUGGAAGCGUAGUAAUACGUUAAGCUAACUGAUACUAAUUGCCCGUGCGGCUUGAUCCU
Molecule: ribosomal RNA, 1270 nt
Filed under: metagenome
Description: bacterial LSU rRNA
Rfam family: Bacterial large subunit ribosomal RNA
Source: RNAcentral